RNAcentral lists this unclassified non-coding RNA (28 nucleotides) under Mus musculus (house mouse). RNAcentral's name for it is "oocyte_clustered_small_RNA12050". The record is from RNAcentral. Lineage: Eukaryota; Metazoa; Chordata; Mammalia; Rodentia; Muridae.
UAGAACUCACUACCUAGACCAGGCUGGC